RNAcentral lists this ribosomal RNA (863 nucleotides) under Wijayarana sumatrana (Sumatra huia frog). Its description in RNAcentral is "Huia sumatrana (Sumatra huia frog) partial 16S rRNA". It matches the Rfam family "Bacterial large subunit ribosomal RNA", at positions 1521 to 2594 of the family's 2925-position model. Lineage: Eukaryota; Metazoa; Chordata; Amphibia; Anura; Ranidae. The record is from RNAcentral.
UAAAGCUUAGCCACCAAACCACCCAUAAUUCCUCAAAUUACUCUCAACCCUUCAUUACUACUGAAUCAUUUUAUAACUCUAUAAAAUCCAUCAUGCUAGAACUAGUAACAAGAAAUUUGCCUUUCUCCUAAAUGUAAGUAUAACCAAAAUGGACACACCAUUGGUUAUCAAUGCAAAUGUUAAAAUUAUAGCAACACAAGGCCAGAAUACCCUAUAACCCCCAAGCGUUAACCUUACACCAGAACAUUACAGGAAAGAUUAAAAGAGAAAGAAGUAACUCGGCAAACUUUAGCCCCACCUGUUUACCAAAAACAUCGCCUCUUGACAAAAUAUAAGAGGUCCAGCCUGCCCAGUGACUAAGUUCAAUGGCCGCGGUACCCUAACUGUGCAAAGGUAGCAUAAUCACUUGUCCUUUAAAUAAGGACUUGUAUCAAUGGCAUCACGAGGGCUACGCUGUCUCCUUUCUCUAAUCAGUGAAACUGAUCCCCCCGUGAAGAAGCGGGGAUUAACCUAUAAGACGAGAAGACCCCAUGGAGCUUUAAACCCAUCUAUAUAUCCGUUACCAAAAAUCAACUUAAUUUACGGACCCUAUAUGCUGGCUUUAGGUUGGGGAGACCACGGAGAAAAAUAUAACCUCCAUGACAAACGGAAUUCAUCCUUAUCUAUGAGUUACAUCUCUAAGAAUCAAUAAACUGAUGUUUGUGACCCAAAUAUUUGAUUAACGAACCAAGUUACCCUGGGGAUAACAGCGCAAUCUACUUCAAGAGCCCCUAUCGACAAGUAGGUUUACGACCUCGAUGUUGGAUCAGGGUAUCCUAGUGGUGCAGCCGCUACUAAAGGUUCGUUUGUUCAACGAUUAAAAC